GACAGUCUAGAAGUGUCUACAUAGGGAACAGAUAUUUAAUAGUUGGCUCUUCAGUCUAGCAGAGAAAGGUGUAAUGUGAUCCAAUGGCUGGAAGUUAAAGCUACAGAAGUUCAAACUGGAACUAAGGCAUACAUUUUUGACCGUGAGGGUGUGAGAGAGCAGAGGGAGUGAGGGAGAUGCCUGCAGGAGACCUGGAGCAGGCUUGCUAAAUGAACUAACCAGAGAAACCUGGUGUGCGGAGGGAACCGUGAGCAGCUGGUUCCCUGUAAGAGAGCUGAAGCAGUUGUUUGAGGCAGCUGACUCUGGGGAGUGAACUCUGAGCAGGACAGCUUCAAAGCCCCAGGCACAUCACCUCCAAAGAACUCCUACAAAAGGACUAGAGGAAGGAACCCUCCUGCUCACCCCGGCUGUGAGGGAUGAGCCAUGCCUUGGGACAGAUUUUUGGCAUGCCUGUGUACAUGUCAAAGGCUGUGUGAAUUCAGAGGGAGUGAAGGGCACGCAGAACCUUUCAGGAUCCAGGCCUGUGUUGCUGCCAUCCAGAACACUGAAUAUCCUGUUUUCUCACCCUAUGGGUAUGUUUUUUGCAUUUUGCUUUUUUUUUUUCAUAUUCUAUUACUCGGCUUAUCCAAAUACUUUUGUUUGAAUGGUAUUAUUGUAUCAGCUGUGGUAUUGUUGAGCAGUUGAAUUGCUACGCCUAAUGAGAUCAGUUUUCUCUUGUCACCAGUUAGGGUGGCCACCGCUGAGGUACAAAAAAUGGGGACAUCCUGGGUGAUCCUGAAUGCUGAAACUGGCCAGCUGGCAGAGUGCACUGAGCACCCUUAUCGAUUUUUCCAGAGCAGCUCCUCAAAAAAAACGAUGAUCCCUGGCAGGUAGCAAUCCUGGAAUCGUGGCUAUUGAUGCACAAGAAAAAUCCUGGCUGUGAGUAACUUAGUAUAUACUAAAAGAAAAGGAGUACUUGUGGCACCUUAGAGACUAAC
Molecule: long non-coding RNA, 977 nt
Organism: Chelonia mydas (Green sea turtle)
Lineage: Eukaryota; Metazoa; Chordata; Testudines; Cheloniidae
Exons: 3
Source: RefSeq, a predicted model, not a curated record